Long non-coding RNA from Ananas comosus (pineapple), 1204 nucleotides. RefSeq lists it as uncharacterized. Lineage: Eukaryota; Viridiplantae; Streptophyta; Magnoliopsida; Poales; Bromeliaceae. The transcript is spliced from 4 exons. The record is from RefSeq and is a predicted model, not a curated record.
CUGGCAAUUUUGUAAAGUGCCCGUAUAUUUUUAUUACGCGAUCUCAAAACCCAACUUCGCCAAGUUAAAAAUGAAAAAAUAAAAACCUUCGCGUGCGGGCGAGCGCUGCAAGCACGGGAGAGCAAAAUUUUUUUUUCUUUUUGGCAUGAGAAACAAAAACAGCCCACCUAACCUCUUUUUCAUCCCAUUCUUCACACUCUAAAAAAUCUUUCUCAAUCCCUUCCCUCAGAAUCUAAAAGCCCUGUUUCCCACUUUAUCAGCCCCUUUCUUCAUAAUCUAAAAGCCCUAAUUUCUUGCUUCCACCUCAAGCAGGGCGUCAUCCACCUCGGCAGCGGAGGCUUGUUAUCCAUCACGGCAGCAACAAUCACUGCACGGAGCUUGUCAAUCACCGCACGAAGUCGCCAGAUUUGCUAUCUCCUCGACCUCAAAUUUCUCGCUUCGUUCACCACAACGUGAGAGCGCGAUCCCUCCAACAAAUUUCAUAGCAGUGACCGUAUUCGUAAAAUUUGGAUAUUUGUGGAUAUUGGAUCAGACAAACUCGAUGGCCUUACUCAUUAUCCUUGUUGAUCGAAACCUACGGCCGCGAGAAAAGAUGAGAUAAAACCUGCAGCCACUUCGCCAAAUAGCAAAUUUUCUAGGUGUAACUUAUUCUAUUAUCGUGACACAAAAUCUAAAAGUAGCUGUCUAAACAUGGAUAAGAGUUGGAUUAAUAAGUCGAGGACGAGUAAUGAUUACCAGCAAGGAUUGGAUCUAUUUCUCAAAUUUGCAUUUGAAAAUGCAUCAAGAAAUGAGAUGAUUCUAUGCCCAUGUAAAAAAUGUACUAAUUGCUUCCGGAGGGAAUAUGAAGUUGUCUAUGAACAUUUGUUAUGUGAUGGAUUUAUGCAGAGCAAUACAAAAUGGAUUUUUCAUGGAGAAGGCAAUUUUGCUUCAAAACCUAUCCAUGAGGCUAAUUUGAAGACAAAGAAAUGCAAGACGAUGAAAUUGAUGAGAUGAUACACAAUGCGUUUUAUUUUCCAACUUCUGACAUGGAGUUGGGAAAUUCAGAAUUUGAUAAUACAAUGGAGGAGCCAAAUGAAGAGACAAAAAAAUUUUUUAGAUUGGUAAAAGAUGCUAAUCAAUAGUUAUAUCCAGGCUGUAAGAUGUUUUCGAAACUCUCUUUUAUUGUGCGUCUAUUGCAGAUUAAAUACCAAGGAGGUUGGAAUAA